This 72-nucleotide transfer RNA is filed under the name Dallia pectoralis (Alaska blackfish). Its description in RNAcentral is "tRNA-OTHER". It matches the Rfam family "tRNA". Rfam says of the family: Transfer RNA (tRNA) molecules are approximately 80 nucleotides in length. Their secondary structure includes four short double-helical elements and three loops (D, anti-codon, and T loops). The record is from RNAcentral. Lineage: Eukaryota; Metazoa; Chordata; Actinopteri; Esociformes; Umbridae.
GGCUCGUUGGUCUAGGGGUAUGAUUCUCGCUUAGGGUGCGAGAGGUCUCAGGUUCAAAUCCCGGACGAGCCC